This 212-nucleotide ribosomal RNA is filed under the name uncultured Thauera sp. RNAcentral's name for it is "partial 16S ribosomal RNA". It matches the Rfam family "Bacterial small subunit ribosomal RNA", at positions 1170 to 1382 of the family's 1533-position model. Lineage: Bacteria; Pseudomonadati; Pseudomonadota; Betaproteobacteria; Rhodocyclales; Zoogloeaceae. The record is from RNAcentral.
AAGGUGGGGAUGACGUCAAGUCCUCAUGGCCCUUAUGGUAGGGCUUCACACGUCAUACAAUGGUCGGUACAGAGGGUUGCCAAGCCGCGAGGUGGAGCCAAUCCCUUAAAGCCGAUCGUAGUCCGGAUCGUAGUCUGCAACUCGACUACGUGAAGUCGGAAUCGCUAGUAAUCGCAGAUCAGCAUGCUGCGGUGAAUACGUUCCCGGGUCUU